This is a long non-coding RNA of Hyla sarda, 603 nucleotides long. RefSeq lists it as uncharacterized. The record is from RefSeq and is a predicted model, not a curated record. The transcript has 4 exons. NCBI's taxonomy places the organism in Eukaryota, Metazoa, Chordata, Amphibia, Anura, Hylidae.
UUAUCAUUACGUCAGUCGUGUUCUUGGAGCUUAGUUUUAUAUCAGAGACUAAGAACACCUCUUGAAUUAGAACAAUGGCUUCUGAAAUCAUUUCUUUUCAGUGAAAUACGAGAAUCUCAAGCACCUUGAAUUUCCCCUGCUACUAAGCGAACAGAAAUAGAAGACCAUACGCCAUCCUUACAGCGAGACAAGGUCCAUAUGGACAUCUUUUUGAGGCAUCUUUCUUCCUCUCUGACAGACUAAAACGGAAACAAUGAAUAUGUUGAUUCCUAUGGUAACAAGAAGGUUCUAUCAAGCAGCUUCUAUACUGAGCCGGGUAUGUGCAGGCUGACCAGCUGGCUGACUCCUCUGAGGUUUAUAGAUGGUGGCUGUUAAUAAGUUUCAGUUGGCGCUGAUCAUCAUUGUGGCCAUUAUGGCGGCAUAUUUUUUGGGAUCUUAUAUUUGGCAUAAAAUUAUGGCCUGACCCCGAGAAUCCAUCUUAAGUUCUAUAUAAAGAUUCCUUUGAUAAUCCAGAUUAUGAAAUAAAGGAAGAUGAAAUCAUUGAAUGGAUUUACUCUCUUGCAGACUAAGAAGGAAAAAUGUGAUUAUGAUUAUUGUAAAAAC